CCGCCGCGGGAAUACGGAGGGUGCAAGCGUUAAUCGGAAUUACUGGGCGUAAAGCGCACGCAGGCGGUCUGACAAGUCAGAUGUGAAAUCCCCGGGCUUAACCUGGGAACUGCAUUUGAAACUGUCAGGCUGGAGUCUUGUAGAGGGGGGUGGAAUUCCAGGUGUAGCGGUGAAAUGCGUAGAGAUCUGGAGGAAUACCGGUGGCGAAGGCGGCCCCCUGGACAAAGACUGACGCUCAGGUGCGAAAGCGUGGGGAGCAAACAGGAUUAGAUACCCCUGUAGUCCCUGUCUCUUAUACACA
Molecule: ribosomal RNA, 301 nt
Filed under: uncultured bacterium
Lineage: Bacteria
Description: partial 16S ribosomal RNA
Rfam family: Bacterial small subunit ribosomal RNA
Source: RNAcentral